AUUGAACGCUGGCGGCAGGCCUAACACAUGCAAGUCGAACGGUAACAGGGAGCAGCUUGCUGCUUCGCUGACGAGUGGCGGACGGGUGAGUAAUGUCUGGGAAGCUGCCUGAUGGAGGGGGAUAACUACUGGAAACGGUAGCUAAUACCGCAUAAUGUCGCAAGACCAAAGAGGGGGACCUUCCGGCCUCUUGCCAUCGGAUGUGCCCAGAUGGGAUUAGCUUGUUGGUGGGGUAACGGCUCACCAAGGCGACGAUCCCUAGCUGGUCUGAGAGGAUGACCAGCCACACUGGAACUGAGACACGGUCCAGACUCCUACGGGAGGCAGCAGUGGGGAAUAUUGCACAAUGGGCGCAAGCCUGAUGCAGCCAUGCCGCGUGUAUGAAGAAGGCCUUCGGGUUGUAAAGUACUUUCAGCGGGGAGGAAGGGAGUAAAGUUAAUACCUUUGCUCAUUGACGUUACCCGCAGAAGAAGCACCGGCUAACUCCGUG
This 490-nucleotide ribosomal RNA is filed under the name uncultured bacterium. RNAcentral describes it as "partial 16S ribosomal RNA". It matches the Rfam family "Bacterial small subunit ribosomal RNA", at positions 30 to 507 of the family's 1533-position model. The record is from RNAcentral.